GCCACUGUGGUCUAGUGGUUAGAACGCUGGCCUUGUAAUCCUGGGGUCUCGGGUUCGAUUCCCGGCGGUGCCC
This 73-nucleotide transfer RNA is filed under the name Zootermopsis nevadensis. It matches the Rfam family "tRNA". From Rfam's summary of the family: Transfer RNA (tRNA) molecules are approximately 80 nucleotides in length. Their secondary structure includes four short double-helical elements and three loops (D, anti-codon, and T loops). Lineage: Eukaryota; Metazoa; Arthropoda; Insecta; Blattodea; Termopsidae. The record is from Rfam by way of RNAcentral.